AGAAAGAAAAAAAAAGAAAAAGAAAAGAAAGAAAGACAGAGAAGGGAGAAAGGGUUAUCGAGGGAGAAGAGAGGAAGAGAGGGUUGUGUCGGGGAAGAAAAGGAGAGGAAGAGAGGUCUGAGGGAGAAGUGAGUUGCGUCGCAGGGGAGAAGAGGGAGACCGAGCCGUCGCGCCACCACCGAAUCAUCGCGCCGCCACGCCGCCGCCACCGUCGGGCUGCUGUGCUGCCAUCGAUACGGUUCAGAGAGGAAGGAAGCGCUACGGUGAGGAAGGGAGCAGGAGCCCAUCGCGCUCGCUGCAAGCCCGUCGUCCGUGUCUUGUCGCCGCGCUGGAGUCGUCGCCGCCAAUGCUGAGCACCGCCGCUGCCGCCUUUGAGGGGAGCCGCCACCAUAGCUGGGAAGAACGGAGUAGGGGAGAGGAGGUUUUGUUGAUGUUGUGGCAGAGAAGGAGGACGAGACGUGUGAGAGAGAGUGACGCACAGAGGAGAGACCAUUCCUCUGCCGCCACCGAUCGCUGCCAUCAUUAAUGGUGAGUCAGUUAAGCCCUAGCUAUGAGAACCACCAUCUCUGAACCCUUAUUGCUCUGUAAAAUACCCUUAUUGUUUGUUGGGGUUUGUCUCAAUUGGAGUCACUGGUGAAGGCGUUGCCGCUGCUGGAAGCCAACGUCGAGGCUGUUGCUGGUUCUGAUUCUAUUAUCCUGUUUUUGCUUUGUCUUGGAUUCCUAGGGCUGUUACACUGGUUAAAGAAUAUACACAAAAUUAUGAUACUUACAUUGGAAGGAUUUGAUAACAAAGAAGAAUCAAUGCUAUAUUGAUGCAAGAUCCAUCCACCAUCAUGGCUAGUACCACUCUUCUCAAAGCGAUAUCGUUUCCUCAUUCCAAUGCGCUGGUUAGUUUUAUUGGCCAUAAUCUCUUUUCCGAUGUCUUCACCUUCCCAACAACCCAACCCGAUGGUGCGAACCAUUCUCAAGCUGUUAGUCGAGAACUUCCUCUUCAGACUAGUGAAGAAAUAGAGGUCCUUCCCGUCAUAAGAAUUUUCAACGUUUUCUUCCCAAAUUUCCCAUGGAUUCUUCUCCGUACCAAACAAUUCACCUUCAAGAAUGGUUCCAUAGUUUGGUAGAGGCCUCCCAUUGAUUUUGUUACGGAGAAAAUCUUGAAUGAGUUCUUCAUCUGUAGAUAAUUUUCGUUGAUAAUUGGUUUCAAUUCGGUGUAUAGGAGCUUGCUUGCAAGAUAUAUUCCCCCAGCUUGAAAGAGUUCUUUUAGCCUAUGAUUGCCAAAUUGCUAAGUAUUUUUGUGUGCAUUAAUCUGUGCAUGCGACCAACAUGUAAGUAUGUCUCUUUCAAGAUCCCAAAAUGAACACUCUGGCCCAUCAUUUUAAAGAAUUUUUGUUCAUAACAGAACACUUAAGGCGGUGGCUAUUGAAAAUCCAAAUGAUGCUGAUCAAGCUGCUGAAAUUGUUCUCAGUGAAUUGCACAGAGACUUAAUAUUGCCACUACCAUGGAAGAGUUGGAAAUUCAAGAAUAAAACAAAGACUCGACAAAAAUUCAAGACUGAAAUAGAGUAUUUGCUCUUAAAGUUGGGCACCUGGCAGUUCUCAAAUAAACAAGUAAUUGGACGGGAUUUUGAUUCAAAUUCAAAUUGGAAAUGGUUUUAUUCCAGGACUUGCAGCUGCAUUUUUAUUGUUAACAAGAAGAGAAGAUAUGAGAGAGCGUGCUGCAAGUUUUGAAAGGGGGAGUAGUUGGCACCAUAUGAGGGAAAGACUUCCUCUUUCGAUGUCGCAGAGAAGAGAAGAAGAAAACAACGGUGAAGAAACAAAGAACGAUGGAAGAAGGAGAAGAGGGUGGCGACGACAGGGACGGUCACAGAGAAGGAUGCCAGAUCGAUAGAGAAAAGAAGAGAAAUGAGGCGACGGCGGUGAUGGAUGCCGCCGCCGCUGUUGGAUCCGUAGAACUGUGUCCAUUUAUCUAUCAAUCGGCAUUUCUGCAGAGUUAUCCAUUUGAGUUGUGGAGUAUACACAAAUCAAUUUGUGGUUCAAAAUACCUAGACAUAUCACCAGUGAAAAAGUAGGAGGAAUUCACUGGUGAUGGAAGCAGUAACUGACAGAGAAGAUAGAGAAUGUGUAUUUUCGACCUGUAGAAAGUCCUAGCCCUAACCUUGCACACUUUGCCCUUCUUCAGAGAUGGUGUCAAGCUUUGGAGGGAAUAAAUUGAAAAAGCUAAAUCAGCUCUGGCUAAGGAUGAGGCUGAGCUUUCAAAAUUGAAAAAAGAAGAAAGCACACUUAAAGAUAUUGUGCAACAGCGAAGCGGUAUCCUUUUUCUUUCAUGCUGCUCAUGACUGACUCUGAACUUGAAUGUAAUGAAAAACAGCUGCACCAGACAUGACACCGGCUGCCAAUAUUAAAGGUGGCAGAAGCAUUGUAUUUUUAGGCACUGUCUAAGUCUCUAAGACAUUAACUGUAGACGAACUGCUUUAUUUAAAGGAGGAGUUUACACUUUUGGAGCCAAACAAAAAUGGAGCGGCCUCGAUGAAAAAUGCAACAAAUGCUAUGGAGUCACACAUUAUUGACUUUUUUGGAUUAAUUCCAUGAUGCAAAUUCCAUGUCAUUAGAGUUUAGUGUUCUUAAGGAUCUCAUUGAGAUUUUAGAGAGCAAAAGUAGCCUCAUUGAAGAGGCAGGGAGCUUGCAAUGUCUUCAAUCAAAUUGGUAGGUAUCGAUACUGCUUGCUAUAUUAGCCAGUAGUAUCUAAGACUUAUUUUUUCAUUUGAGAUCUAGCAUCAUAUGGUUAUGUUACCUUAGCCUCCUAAUAAUUGUGGUUAACGGGUUAUAGUUGUGUCCUACUUAUUGAUGGAGGGAAAGAACUUUUAAGAUUUUGAAUUAAAAGAUAAAAGAACUUUUAGGAUGCUAUCUAAUUAAUAUGUUCGUCUGAUGGUAUACCAGCAAGUACAACUAGAUUUUGUUCCUUUACUAAAAAAAGUAUUAAUUGGAAUAUAAAAAAUGCAUAGAAUUCUCUGUAACUCCAUAGCAUCAAUAAAAAAAUACUGAAUGAGAAAUUUCAACAAUCCAUGUCCCACUAUCAAAAUACUGAAUGAGCAUUUUUAACAAUUUAUGUCCCAUUUAUCAAUUUUAACCUUUUUUUUCUUUAAAAUAAUAAUUGUGCUAGAAGAAUUGAUAUAUGAAAAGAAGAAGACUAUUUUCUAAUAAAGUAAUUUCAGAAUUAAAGCUUUUAAGUUAUAACAAUAUUAAAAAUAAAAAAAAUGAAAGAAUUUUGUUUUACUAAUUGAUUGAAUCUAAGAAUAUUUUUCUAUUUAGCAUUUGUAUGUUUCAUUUUUGUUGAACGAAGAAGAAUUUAUUAUUCUCAAGUCACAUCAUUUUUUUUAUCUACACUCUUCAAUAAAAAUGCUUUUAUUAGUACUUAAUUACUAUUUUAUUAUUUUAACAUAUACUUAAAAUAAUGUGAAUUAAAAUUAACUUUAAUGUUUUUAUUCAUUUGUUUGCUAGCUACGUUUUGAUGUAACUUUUUGGUUAAAAAAAGCUUAGAUUUUGUAGGAUGUCCAUUUUUGCUUCAAAAGAGGUUAGUAUUAUAUUUUUUACUUUUAUAGUAUUAAUUUAAUUAACUAAAUUAAUUGAAAAAGUAGUUUUUUUUAAGCUAUUAUUUUUCUUUUCAUCCUCCAUGAUAUACACCAAAUAUUAAAAGGCACAACAUAUUAUAUGGUGGCUUUAAUUAGUAAAAGGCAUAGAAAAUAAUAGUAUUUUUUAGAAAUCAAGAUAUAAAAAUGAAAGAGAUCCUUAAGGAGGUUCAUCAUUACAAAAGAACUUGGAAGAGAUUCAGAUUUGAAAAAGAAUGGGCAUCAAGUAUGUAUGCUGGUAGGGGGUCGGUGGGUAGAAGAUGAUUUUGAGGUUGCAAAUCUGUGAUUGUUUGUUGGCAGGGUCUUAAUGCGGUGCUCAAGUGAUUAUCUGUUUAUGGAUAGUUUUUCUAGAACAAUUGAUGUAAGUCAUGUAACUGUCUUUUUUUUUUGUUCUCUUAGUUUAGGUUAUCUUUUUGUAUCAAUUUGUCAGUUGGAUGUAUUUUGUGGAACUUAUUUUAAUAACUUCCUUUUAGUUUUCGUAAAUUGAACUUAUAAAAAAAAAGCAUGGAAAUAAUUUAAAAACAUAUAUUUGUGUUAAGAUA
Arachis stenosperma is the source of this 4164-nucleotide RNA transcript. RefSeq lists it as uncharacterized. Lineage: Eukaryota; Viridiplantae; Streptophyta; Magnoliopsida; Fabales; Fabaceae. The record is from RefSeq and is a predicted model, not a curated record. The transcript has 9 exons.